CUGAGCUCAGAGGCAUCUUCAUCAUGGCCUGGACCUCUCUUCUUCUACCUCUUCUCUCUCUGUAUGCAGGUUCUGUGACCAGCUAUGAGCUGAUCCAACCACCUUCAGCAUCAGUCACUCUGGGAAAUACUGUCUCACUCUCUUGUGUUGGAGAUGAAUUACCAAAAAGAUAUGCUUAUUGGUAUCAACAAAAGCCAGACCAGUCCAUUGUGAGAGUGAUAUAUGAGGAUACCAAGCGGCCCUCGGGCAUCUCUGACCGAUUCUCUGGGUCCAGCUCAGGGACAACAGCCACUCUGACAAUCCGUGACGCCCAGGCUGAGGAUGAGGCUGAUUAUUACUGUCAUUCGACAUAUAGUGAUGAUAAACUUCCACAGUGA
Molecule: non-coding RNA, 377 nt
Organism: Rattus rattus (black rat)
Lineage: Eukaryota; Metazoa; Chordata; Mammalia; Rodentia; Muridae
Source: the annotation of a RefSeq genome assembly